This 388-nucleotide ribosomal RNA is filed under the name Stenus clavicornis. RNAcentral's name for it is "partial 16S ribosomal RNA". The record is from RNAcentral. Lineage: Eukaryota; Metazoa; Arthropoda; Insecta; Coleoptera; Staphylinidae.
UGCCCAAUGAAAUUUUAAUGGCUGCAGUAUAUUGACUGUACAAAGGUAGCAUAAUCAAUAGUUUCUUAAUUAGAAGCUGGAAUGAAUGAAUUUACGAGAAAUUAAUUGUCUCAAUAUAAAAUUUAUAAUUUUAUUUUUAAGUAAAAAAGCUUAAAUUUUGUUAAAAGACGAGAAGACCCUAUAGAAUUUUAUAUAAUUUUAUAUAAAAAUUUUAUUAAGUAAAAUUGUAUUUUGUUGGGGUGAUAAAAAAAUUUAUUUAACUUUUUUUUUAUUUAAACAAUAAUUAUUGAAUUUUUGAUCCAAUUUUUUGAUUAUAAGAAUAAAUUACCUUAGGGAUAACAGCGUAAUAUUUUUUUAGAGUUCAAAUCAAAAAAAAUGCUUGCGACCU